RNAcentral lists this long non-coding RNA (6284 nucleotides) under Sus scrofa (pig). RNAcentral describes it as "lncRNA (ENSSSCG00060058560.1)". Lineage: Eukaryota; Metazoa; Chordata; Mammalia; Artiodactyla; Suidae. The record is from RNAcentral.
GUGUGUUAAUGAGCUAUCUCUUGAAUUUGUCCAUUGAUCGUGUCUCAGAAAUAUUUUCUCAUUGUUUCAUCACACUGAAACUUUGGCCAAGAAAUGUUUAAAAUUCAAAGCAUUGAUAUCAAUUUCCCCCCCUUUUUUUUUAAAGGCAACUUACAAGAUUAAAAUUAAAUUUGGUUGAUGAUGGUUCUGGACAAAUACAGCUCUUUUAUUUGAGGUAUGCCAUUUUGAAGACAGACCCGUGGAAUUUUAUCCUUGAGGAUAGGGGAAAUCUUUGUGAAAGUCUGUAUUUUAUAAAGCAAAAAGAAUAUAUCACUAAAGGUUGUCAGUGCAACAUAAAUUGUGUACUCAUUAUCUUGAGAAAGGGAUGAGAAAAAGCCCAUCAAAUUCUUUACCUUACAUCAAAGCAGUUUUGUGUUAAAACAUUAAAACAGUUGAUACAUGUAAUUUGUAACAGAGCGAUGAGACAUUUGAUGUUUCUCAAUCAAAUGGUGCUUUAGGGUUAUGGUUAAAUCAAUAGUUGAGUCAUCAGAAUUAUGUAUCUUUACAAUCUGAAAUGUACAUUCUGUAGACAUUUUUUUGUGAUGCAGAUUACAAAUGACCUAGAAUUUUGUAGUUGCAGCUCUUAUGAUUCUAAGGAACUAUAUUUCAAAAGCUAAAUACACUUUCAUAUUCUAGUUAUUAUGUAGUGAAUUUAAAAUUCUGAUUUUUUUUCUGUUUUUAUGAGUUCGCUUUCAAAUAGGCACAAAAAUAAGUAAGUUAUCUGAUAGGAAACUAGAAUAAUACGGCUGAGGAGACCUUGAAAAAUGUAGCUUAGUCUUUUUAAAGCAUAAGAAGGAAGAAAUAAUUUCAUAUGUGUGAUGUUUUGACAUCUUAAAGCUAGACAUAUGAAUGAAAAAAUAUGUACAAUGAAAAUUUUCAGGAAUUAUUUCCUACUCUUAAGUUAACACUAAAUGUGGAAAUAAAUGCCAAGCCAAUAUUAGCAAGGGAUUUACCAGAGGAAAUAUGUAAUAUAAUGAGAUAUCUUGGGAAAUUUUAAGAAUAGCCAAAUAACCAACUAGUUAACAUGAGGGCAGGUUUACCUUUGUGCUUGUAAUUUUUGUGGAAUAUCUUUUAUCUGUUGUUGUUGACUUAUUCUGUUGAUACAAAUAGGUGAUAAAAAGUAUUAUUUUUUUUACCUUUGCUUUAGCUUAAUUUUUGCCUUUCAGUCCUUUUGCAAUUUGACCAAAUUUGUGUUUAUUAUAGUGUGCAAAAGGAAACCAAAUGUUAGACCUUUAUACUUUUAAAAGAUGUAGCAUAUAUAGAAAAGUCAGUAUCUUUCAUCCUAAGUUUCUUUAAUACAAAUGUCAAGUUUAGGGUUUUCUCUGUGUAAAUGAUUGGAUAUUGGAUUGGCAUUCAGAUGUGGUUAGGCAUUGCUAUAAAAAUUGAGAAUUGAGCCUCUUAAGACACAAAUAUAUUUGAAAUUUAAUGUAAAUUUAAGCAUAAAUUGACAGUAAAUUUAUAAUCGCCUACCAGAGGUAUAAUUUGACCCAUAAAAAAAGAAUAAAGAAGAUUAGAAACAUUAAAUGAAGAUUAUCCUUUUUAGUCUAGUAUUAGUAAUUAUAAAAAUAACAAAUGAUACGGUAAGUUCUACAUUAAUGUAAUAGAAUACAGCUUUCUUUUUAUUAUCAACAAGGCAAAAGUAAUAAAUUACAUUUUAAAAAGAUCUGCAUGGACUUCUGAGCCAAGCUUGUAAAAUUUGCAAUGUUUUUGAUGUAUAAAAAUAGUGGAUUCAUGAGAAUAAAAUGAAGAUACUACUUUAAAUUACUAUAUUUCAUAAAUAAUUUACUUUGCUACCAUUUUCUGCUUAAGAGCCAGAGUGAUAAAUGCUUAAAUAUUUGUUUUUAUUUUAGCAUUUUGAAUCUUGAACCAUAAAAAUCACCUGAUCAAGUUGGUGAUUGGGUUGCAUUGCAUUUGUUAGUUAUAGUAAUAACUGUUUAAAAAAUUACCCAAAGUUCCACAGAAAUGAAAGAAACCAUGCCUGUAGUUAAUACAAGGUUGUUAUGAACUAUACAUGUCACUAAGAGGCUAGAUUAUAUGAAAUUAAUCUUGGAAGGCCGUUAGGCUUACCAUUAUACCAUCAACGUACACUGAAAUAGGUAAUUUUGAAUACAAAUUUUCUUUUAAGUUUAGUUUACUAUUACCCGAAGUUUCUUAUUUAAAAAUUUGGACUGUGGACAGCCAAUUAAUUUACCUUUUCUAUGAGAUUUAUACUUUUUUGAGAGGCUUAGGGGGAAAAAGAUAAUUUGAGGACCUCUCCAUCUCUUGCAUUGAUGAGAGGUGUGUGAUAGAGCAGAAAGUAUAACUCUGAUGCAGCAGUCAGGAGAGCUGGCUUCUAACCUAAAUUACCCUUGUGAUUUUGACGUUUUAUUCAUUGUGGCCCUUCUCUUAAUUUGUUUAAAGUAUUUGAAAUAUUCAAUUUCUUAUGAUACCUUUUUGGUCUCAAAUUGUGUGGUAAAAAUAAUAGAAUGUCUUGAUUCUCUUAAACUGCCUAAUUAUUUUUGUAGUUUUUGAAUUGCAAAUCAUGGUUGUUAUUUCUGUGGUGAAGUUAAUUUGAAUAACAAGACCUGGGUGAUAAUGUACCCAGCUUUCCUAAUUUUAGGCAUUCCAUAAUAUUAAUAAAUAGUAUAAAGCAGACAUAAUGGAAAGUUAAUCUUAAAAAGCAGUUAAGGUGUGAAAUUGUCUUUAAAAAACAAAGAUUUAGAAGGCUACAAUAAAAACAUUGUUUGAAUUUUUGCCUAGUUAUUUUAUUAAAUAAUUUAAAGAUUAGUGUAUUUAAGGUAAUUUGCACCUGACCAUCUGAUUAUAAAUGGUGAUUUAUAAUUUACAUGCUUGACAUAAUCUUUUUAAGAAGUUUCUAUUCUUCAAUGAUAAAUAUACCUCAUUUACCUUUUCCCUUACAGAUCGAGUGGCUCAAAACAGACAGUUUUCAUAUUGGCUGUUAGUGCUGAAUAUAGAUAAUUUUUAAAAUUUAAAUUCAAGGAUACUCUCAACUUUCUAAAGCAAAAACUGACUUUAUUUACGUAACAUUCAAGUAGCAUGUUUCUUACCGUUUGAUAAAGUUUUAUACAUUGUAUAAAGCUAGAUCCCUGUUUUAAAAGAUAGUUCUUUGUUUUUUGAAACUAUUCCAUUUAUUUGAAAUUGAAUAUUUCCUAAGCAAGCAAUUAUAUCCUUAAUGUGAUAGAGUCAUUUCAAUUUAGGUUAUUAAGCUAGAUAUUUUGCUUAACAUUAAUGGUUUGUGAGUUGUGAUGUUUUCUUAUAUAACUGUUAAUGAAUUUAUCACUACCUUAUUUUUGUGGAAGAUUUCUUAUAUUUCACAGUACUCUCAGGUUUAAUUCUUAAUUUAAAUGUAAAAAUUGUUUUAGGGACUUUAAAAGGUGACAAAAUCAGGAGUUCCCAUCGUGGUGCAGCAGAAACAAUCCAGCUAGGAACCAAGAGGUUUUGGGUUCGGAUCUCUGCUCUGUGGGUUAAGGAUCUGGCAUUACCAUGAGCUGUGGUGUACGUUGCAGAUGUUCAGACUUGGCGUUGCUGUGGCUGCUGUGGCAUAGGCUGGCAGCUUGGAUUGGAUCCCUAGCCUGGGAACCUCCAUAUGCUGUGGGUGCAGCCCCCCCCCAAAAAAAAGGUGACAAAAUAAAAUAUUCUUAGAUGCACAAAUGGGCUAGUAAUGGUAGGACUUGAUUCAGGCCAUCUUGUCUUUUAUUAUGACAAGCAAUCAAAAUUGUUAUUUGCAUUAUAGCUAUAAUUUCAUACUAAAUGAGGAUCUUUGAUACUGCAAAAUAUUAAAAAUAGGUAGGCAUGUGAGCAAAAUUAUCAACUUUGAUAGUUUGCUUAAUGUGAACUUGGUUUACCUCCCCCUUAAAAGGAGGGCUGAGUGGGCCGAGUACUGCUUUGUCAGUGUUUGGAAAGGAAAUUGUAUGGCAGGUUAAAUGGGUGUCAGUAAUCUUUGUGGUGGUACAAGAUGUGACCCAGGUCAUCUUCUGUUUUUGGUGGACUGAGCACCUUGAGCCCUAAUACUUGUACUGGUAGGUAGCCUUUUUUUCCUUUUUUUCUUUUUUUUAAAUUAGAGUACAGUUGAUUUACAAGUAGGUAGCUUUUUUGUAAGCAGGUUCUCAGACUGAUGUGAUAGAUUUCCCUCAGACUUUGCUUUCACCCAACAUUCCUUAGGUCAUUUCCACCCUUCUCUUGGGGUUUAUAUCAAUUUAUUUUACUUGGCUGAUUUAGAAUUUGUCUUUGUUCACAAACUUUUCUUUAUAAAGUCAGAUUAAAUUUGGAAGUUUAAGAAUAAAUAAUGCUGUGUUUCUUGUAAAUUGCUUCAUUAACUUCUUGGGAGGAUAUUUUAGCAUGUUGCUCUUAAAAGUAAUUUUGAAGCAGAUCUUUGCAAUAUUUCUUGGUUGUGAUUAGUCAAAAUGAUUAAAGGGAUUUAGAUUUGGUAAGAUAAUCAGGAAGUUGGCUUUAAAGUUUGAAAAUUGGAAACCUUAGUCAUGGAAAAGCAUUUGGGUAAGCAUAGUUUUAGAUUAAGUCCUAAACUUUGGCUUUCUAAAAAUCCUUACAUUGCUACACUUAAAUAGUGAACUUUUAAACAAAGCUUUUUGGGUAGUUCUAGCUAUUGUGAUUAUUAUGAUCAACUUAGGAGCAGGAGAGACUGAAAAAAGUGUAUACCUAUGUUCUCAAAAAUGUAUUUGAGAUGUAGGAAACAUCUUUCACAUGAGGUAUUUCAGUCUAACUAGUGAACUAACUAGUGAAGACUAUGGAUGUAUCCUGAUCAAGCAAAUAUUUUUAGGAAGGGUUAGUAUUGAGUAGGUCAUUGUAAGUAGUAGUACAAAAAGCUUGACAUUUUAAGAUUUCGAUCCUAGAACAGUGUUGAUUAGAGUACAUGAUAAUGUGAAAUAAUAUGGUAAUAUUAAGGAGUGAGUAAUACGGCCUUGCCAGGUUGGUAAUGGAAGUUUUCCUUUAGAAGUCUUAAAAGUAGAUUAGAUGAAAGACUAGAAAAUAAAGUAAUUCUGUGCUGUUAAGGAGUGAUAUUGGCUUUUAUAUUAAUCAGCUACCUCUCAGCUGCCCAUUAGAUCUACCUAAAGAGCCCAGACUUUACUAGGGAGUUCUUGGAGCAUGAGAAAUGUUUUUACUCUACAGGUGAGCCUUCUGAACAGUCAAAUUUAAGAUCCUCUGGAUUAGAACUUUGUUGUUUUGUUUUGUUUUGUUUUGUUUUGGAUUAGAACUUUUGGCUACAUUUAUAAAUGCACAUAUGUCUUGGUCUUUUGGAGAGUGAUCCUGAUAAGGUGUUGAAAUUUCCAAAUCUAUUUUUGUCUUUUUUGUAUGUGUACAAUUAUAUUCUUUUUGUUUUCUGCAGCAAUAUGAAUCCUGAGGCUGAAUUGUCUAAGGGGCCUGUACAGCGAAAUAGAUGUAAGUUUUACUCAAUUUACAUGUUUAAUUUGUUUUUUACUUUUACAUGUGACUUUGGAAAUUCUGAGUAAUUGAGUCAGAGUCUCUAAAAAUGUAGAAGAAUUUAGUGAAGUUCCAAGCAGUACAGAUAUAAAUCAACAUAGAUGUAUGUGGCUUAUUAUUAAAAUUUUGGUUAUUAUUCCAACCUCUUUUCCUUUCUUUACUUAAAGAGAGGUAUAAAUGGAUGGAAGGAAACUCACAUUUGAACAUUCUUCUAAUACUGCACCCUAGCUGUUGGUAAGCUCCCCAUUUUUAUAAAUAAAGUUUUAUUGGAACACAGCUAAGCUCUUUCAUUUACGUAUUAGCUGUGUCUGCUUUCUGACUACAGCUGCAGAGAGUAGAUUUAGCUAAUGGCCACAAACCCUAACAUAUUUAGUUAUUUAGUAUUUUAACCUGUAAGGAAAUCUUGCCUAUCCUUUCCCUAGAUUCAUCCUUUUUGUCAACUUUAUGUAGAACUCAAAAGCACUUGGAUUCUCUUAAUAAUGGGGGUGUACCUUUUACUUUGUUAGUAUUUCAUUGUUAGAAUUCAAAUAACAUAAGUAAUCAUGAGCUUGGCUUAAACUCCAAAGCCCAACAAAGGUUCUUUCACACCAGCAUUAUGCUUUAAUAUUAGAAGAUUUGGGGAGUUCCCGGUGUGGCACAGUGGAAAUGAAUCAACUAGUAUAGUAUCCAUGAGGAUUUGGGUUCUAUCCCCGGCCUCACUCAGUGGAUUAAGGAUUUGGAGUUGCUGUGAGCUGUGGUGUAGGCCAGCAGCUGCAGCUCUGAUUCGACCCCUAGUCUAGGAACUUCCUUAUGACACAGGUAUGGCC